This 497-nucleotide ribosomal RNA is filed under the name uncultured bacterium. Its description in RNAcentral is "partial 16S ribosomal RNA". It matches the Rfam family "Bacterial small subunit ribosomal RNA", at positions 28 to 507 of the family's 1533-position model. The record is from RNAcentral.
GACGAACGCUGGCGGCGUGCCUAAUACAUGCAAGUUGAGCGAUGAAGAUUGGUGCUUGCACCAAUUUGAAGAGCAGCGAACGGGUGAGUAACGCGUGGGGAAUCUGCCUUUGAGCGGGGGACAACAUUUGGAAACGAAUGCUAAUACCGCAUAACAACUUUAAACAUAAGUUUUAAGUUUGAAAGAUGCAAUUGCUUCACUCAAAGAUGAUCCCGCGUUGUAUUAGCUAGUUGGUGAGGUAAAGGCUCACCAAGGCGAUGAUACAUAGCCGACCUGAGAGGGUGAUCGGCCACAUUGGGACUGAGACACGGCCCAAACUCCUACGGGAGGCAGCAGUAGGGAAUCUUCGGCAAUGGACGAAAGUCUGACCGAGCAACGCCGCGUGAGUGAAGAAGGUUUUCGGAUCGUAAAACUCUGUUGGUAGAGAAGAACGUUGGUGAGAGUGGAAAGCUCAUCAAGUGACGGUAACUACCCAGAAAGGGACGGCUAACUACGUG